This 2846-nucleotide ribosomal RNA is filed under the name human oral metagenome. RNAcentral's name for it is "bacterial LSU rRNA". It matches the Rfam family "Bacterial large subunit ribosomal RNA". The record is from RNAcentral.
UUAAGCGAAAAGAGCACAGGGUGAAUGCCCAGGCACUGAGAGCCGAAGAAAGACGUGAUAAGCUGCGAAAAGCGGCGGGGAUUGGCAAAUACGAGGUGAUCCGCCGAUAUCUGAAUGGGGAAACCCACCGGAGUAAUCCUCCGGUACCGCAGGGUAAAUUCAUAGCCAUGCGGAGGGAACCCGCCGAACUGAAACAUCUCAGUAGGCGGAGGAAGAGAAAACAACCGUGAUUCCGAAAGUAGCGGCGAGCGAAAUCGGAGGAGCCCAAACCGCGGUGCGUGCACCGCGGGGUAAGGACCGCGAAAAAGUUCGAAGAGGGAGUGGAAGCGCGCUGGAAAGCGUCGCCAUAGAGGGUGAGAGCCCCUUACACGAAGCUCAAAGAAUGGCGCGGGAUCCGGAGUACUGUCAGACACGUGGAAGCUGGCAGGAAGAAGGGGGGACCACCCCCCAAGGCUAAAUACUACUCAGUGACCGCUAGCGAGAGUACUGUGAAGGAAAGGUGAAAAGGACCCCGGGAGGGGAGUGAAAGAGAACCUGAAACCCUGUGUUUACAAGCUGUGGAAGGACGAAAGGUCCGACCGCGUACUUUUUGUAGAACGGUCCGGCGAGUUAUCGCUGCCGGCAAGGUUAAGGAUUUAAGGUCCGGAGCCGAAGCGAAAGCGAGUCUUAAUAGGGCGAAAAGUCAGCAGAGAUAGACCCGAAACCGGGUGACCUAUCCAUGUCCAGGAUGAAGCCAAAGUAAAAUUUGGUGGAGGUCCGAACGCACAUCCGUUGAAAAGGGUGGCGAUGAGGUGUGGAUAGCGGAGAAAUUCCAAUCGAACCCGGAGAUAGCUGGUUCUCCUCGAAAUAGCUUUAGGGCUAGCCUCGUGUUAAUGAUCUUUUGCAGGUAGAGCACUGAAUUCUUGAGGGGGCGUCAAAGUCUACCAAGAGAUAUCAAACUCCGAAUGGCAGGAAGACAGACACGGGAGUCAGACGAUGCGAUAUAAAUUGCAUGGUCAAAAGGGAAAGAGCCCGGAUCUACAGCUAAGGUCCCAAAGUGCGUGUUAAGUGGGAAAGGAUGUGAGAUCUCAGAGACAACUAGGAUGUUGGCUCAGAAGCAGCCACACAUUCAAAGAGUGCGUAAUAGCUCACUAGUCGAGAGGUCGUGCGCCGAAAAUUCACGGGGCUGAAACACGACACCGAAGCUUAGGGAUGGAGAAAUCCAUCGGUAGAGGAGCAUUGAAAACCCAUAGAAGCAGGACCGGAAGGUCCUGUGGAGAGUUUUGAAGAGAGAAUGCCGGAAUGAGUAGCGAGAUGGAGGUGGGAAUCCUCCAGGCCGAAAAUCUAAGGUUUCCAGGGUAAAGCUGAUCUGCCCUGGGGAAGUCGGGGCCUAAGGCGAGGCUGAAAAGCGUAGUCGAUGGAGAACUGGUGAAGAUUCCAGUACCGAAUGAUAUCAGAACUGCGGGGACACAUGGGGGAAGGAAGAGCCGGGAGAGAGAAGACCGGUGCAAGCGCCGAAAGGCGUGAAGCGGAACGAAGAAAAGUAGGGAAGCUUCCGGAGACUGUGGCGAGAAAAGCCGCUAUUGUGUAUCAUGAGCCCGUACCGCAAACCGACACAGGUAGAUGAGGAGAGAAUCCUAAGGCCGACGGGAGAAGCAUUGUUAAGGAACUCGGCAAAAUGACCCCGUAACUUCGGGAGAAGGGGUGCCCACGAGAGUGGGCCGCAGAGAAAAGGCUCAAGCAACUGUUUAGCAAAAACACAGGUCUAUGCGAAACCGAAAGGUAAAGUAUAUGGGCUGACGCCUGCCCGGUGCUGGAAGGUUAAGAGGAGAGGUUAGCGAAAGCGAAGCUUUGAAUUGAAGCCCCAGUAAACGGCGGCCGUAACUAUAACGGUCCUAAGGUAGCGAAAUUCCUUGUCGGGUAAGUUCCGACCCGCACGAAAGGCGUAAUGAUUUGAGCGCUGUCUCAACAAUGCACCCGGUGAAAUUGAAGUACCAGUGAAGAUGCUGGUUACCCGCGCCAGGACGGAAAGACCCCAUGGAGCUUUACUCCAGUUUGGUACUGGGAUUCGGUAAUACUCGUACAGGAUAGGUGGGAGACAUAGAAGCAUGGACGCCAGUUUAUGCAGAGUCGCCGUUGGGAUACCACCCCUGUAUUGCUGGAUUUCUAACCUGCGGCCGUAAUCCGGCCGGGGGACAAUGCCAGACGGGGAGUUUGACUGGGGCGGUCGCCUCCGAAAGAGUAUCGGAGGCGCUCGAAGGUUCCCUCAGAAUGGUCGGAAACCAUUCAAAGAGUGCAAAGGCAGAAGGGAGCUUGACUGCGACACCGACGGGUGGAGCAGGUACGAAAGUAGGACUUAGUGAUCCGGUGGCAUAAAGUGGGAUUGCCAUCGCUCAACGGAUAAAAGCUACCCUGGGGAUAACAGGCUUAUCACUCCCAAGAGUUCACAUCGACGGAGUGGUUUGGCACCUCGAUGUCGGCUCAUCGCAUCCUGGGGCUGUAGCAGGUCCCAAGGGUUGGGCUGUUCGCCCAUUAAAGCGGUACGCGAGCUGGGUUCAGAACGUCGUGAGACAGUUCGGUCCCUAUCCGGCGUGGGCGUAAGAUAUUUGAGAGGAGCUGUCCUUAGUACGAGAGGACCGGGAUGGACUGACCACUGGUGUACCUGUUGGGUAGCAGACCCACGGCAGGGUAGCCAAGUCGGGAACGGAUAAACGCUGAAGGCAUCUAAGCGUGAAGCCGACCUCAAGAUGAGAUAUCUCAUGCGAAAGCAGUAAGACCCCUUAAAGACAAUGAGGUAGAUAGGGCUAAGGUGUAAGUGCAGAAAUGCAUUAAGCUGAUAGUUACUAAUCGGUCGAGGGUUUAACCAA